UGGGAUUUGUAUCCCCAUAAAGGCACACCCCUAACUCACUGAGCUUGCUCACAUUACUUGAAAGCAGCCUCUAUUAAGUAGACUCUUUCAAGUAGGAGUUAGAAAACCAGGAGUUCAAACAAGGGGUUUAAACUAACAAGGUAAUUGUUUUCAUUUUCUGUUUCUGGGGAAAUGAGUGUUAGCAAGAUUGCUGGUUUGACUCAAU
Molecule: non-coding RNA, 205 nt
Organism: Pelobates cultripes (western spadefoot toad)
Lineage: Eukaryota; Metazoa; Chordata; Amphibia; Anura; Pelobatidae
Source: the annotation of a GenBank genome assembly